GAAUCUUUAGUUUAAUUUGAAUUUUUUGUUUACAACAAAAGGGUUUAAAGAUUUU
Molecule: transfer RNA, 55 nt
Filed under: Syphacia obvelata
Lineage: Eukaryota; Metazoa; Nematoda; Chromadorea; Rhabditida; Oxyuridae
Description: tRNA-Val
Source: RNAcentral